CCGAGUGAGGGCCCUCUGGGUCCAACCUCCCACCCAUGUUUAUUGUACCUUGUUGCUUCGGCGGGCCCGCCGAAGACACCUAGAACUCUGUCUGAAGAUUGCAGUCUGAGUGAAAAUAUAAAUUAUUUA
RNAcentral lists this unclassified non-coding RNA (129 nucleotides) under uncultured Eurotiomycetes. Its description in RNAcentral is "sequence contains ITS1". The record is from RNAcentral. Lineage: Eukaryota; Fungi; Ascomycota; Eurotiomycetes.